RNAcentral lists this long non-coding RNA (710 nucleotides) under Homo sapiens (human). Its description in RNAcentral is "long intergenic non-protein coding RNA 390". Lineage: Eukaryota; Metazoa; Chordata; Mammalia; Primates; Hominidae. The record is from RNAcentral.
AGGCUGUUGGUGAAGUCACGACGUAGUGCCAGUGGCCUCGUCCCGCUCUGCUCAAGGGACCCUCACAGGCUGUGGAAUCCGGGCGUCGGGACCUCCGGGGACCUGGGCCUUCUGCUUCCACUCUCAUUCCUGAAUGUUAAAGGGGCAGGGCCGGACCGGAUGGAAUCACCAAAAAGUAUAAUCAUUAGGUCACUAGAUGUGCACGUUGGCAAUUUUCGAAAAUAUUGCCAGAGAGAUUGAAAUAAUUCACCACUGCCCCUCCUCCAGCUUCUCCUGGGCAUGCCACAUACACUGUGGGAAGGGGAAAGGCUGACCUAGAACACCUUCAAGUGGAUGCUACAGAACCCACCAGGGCAGAGCCUCAGCUCUCAGCCUCCCGGAAUGAACCAUGAACCCAAAGCAAAGAGCAGAACUCCUUUGACACCUCCAGCUUCACAGACAAAGAUGAAUCUCCUAAGGCAUUUCUGAAACAUGCAGUUCUGAAGUCUGGCCAGCCACACCAAAGAGCUUUUCGCAAGAAGGCACAGGCCAGACUCUGUCAUAAAGAGGAAGCCAUCAGGUUCUUGGAUAAUUGCUGAAUGGAACUAAGGGAAAUGAGAGGAGAGAAGCAUCUCAGAGCAUGUUUGGACUUGCUGCAUGCCUUGGACCCUGCUACACACUGAUAACUGAAUAUUGAGCCCUUGAGCUGAUAAACAAGGGUCUUUGACUCG